AAGGUGUGGAGGCAUCAGAGGUGUAUUCCUUCCACUUUUGGGGGUCGAUCCUUUAUUGCCUGCUUGCUGUACGACAGGCUUUCCAUAAACACCUAAACGCCACCGCUGUGUGGGAGGUGACCCGCCCGUGACGUAACUCUAGACGCCCGCCGGAGUGGAAGGACCCCAAGUCCAGGACUGGAAAGUGCGUGAUUUACAACUAGAGGGAUAGCAGCUGUCCCGGAGCCCGUCCCGGGCCAGGGAGCAGGAGAGGGAGGACUACAGUUCCCGAAGCGCCGCGGGGCGGGCGGAGAUCGUGCGCUUUCUCAGGCCGCGCCCAGCGCGCUUCGGCGCUGGUUGCACGGCCUUGGUCUCGGGUGGCGGCUUCCCUGCUCCUGUGACGGUCCCCUUGUCUUCCGACCUCUCGGUCCUCGGUCGUCUGUUCACGCCGGUCGCCGCGGCAGCCCCUGAUUGCCGAGCGACGGGUUCCCACGCCCAGCUGUGAGCACCAAGCCCAGAGCCUGGUUGAAUCCUUGGCCACCCUGCCCACCCGUUUGGCUAUUAUCCUGCCACCUCCAAAUCCUGUUUUUUGGUAUCUCCUGGAAGAGGGGGCAAAUGGAAAGAAAAAGGAAAAAAACUACUUGUAGCCGUAGUUAGUGGGUAAAUUCAGCUUUCGUUUGAACUGAGGUGUUUAUCUCCAUUCACCCUAUCUGCCACCACCAGAAUCGUCUUUUUAGUAAUCACAGCUUGUCCCCAUCAAUACCUUGUUCAGAAGCCUCUCACAGCUUCCAUCGUCUGGUUAAAAAGUCCAAAUUCAAGAGAAAGAGUGCUUGUGUUAAUGUCUAGACCUUUCCAGCCAUUUCCUAGCUCCUCCGUAUGGAAACUGCAACUGAAAACACCGUUUCCAAAAAAAAAAAAAAAAAUCAGUCUACAUUUUUCUCUGGAUUUUCUUCUCGAAAUUUCACAUCCCUGCCUCUCUUACACACUGGAUACCACCUGCUGUGGAGUGGAGGAACCGCCAUCCAUCAAUAGCUAGGUGUCCUGUCGUUGACACCCAAGCUAGACAGGCGUGUACGUAACUGAGGACGUGCCCUUGAUCGAAGUCCCAGCUUUCCUCAGACAGAUAGGCAGAAAACAAGAGUAAGGUUAAAAGAGAAAAGGUUGUGGUGGUGGGCUUUCAACUUGUCUCCAGAUAUCAGCAAUUUGCUCACAGCCUCAGCACUUACCCUCAAAGUGAUUUGAAGCCAGAGGGUAAACAUGUUGCUUCUUCCUGAAACACUGAUUUUUACCUAGAAACCAGACCAAAAAAAAAAUUAGUUUUAAGACAGUCAGUUUGAAAUAGAAUGCAAAACUAAUAUGAUUGUUAAAGCAAAAUUUUCUUCAACCUGAGGAAGCUGAUUGAGAAAAGAAAAAAUGGAUAAAGCAGCAUUUGAAAGGACUUUGAUGACCUGCACACGGCAGUCGCCCUCUGUAAAGGAGGACGAGCCCGCUCUGCCUUGUGGGUGUGUGAACGCCUGGCGGCUGUAACAGUUGGUCACAUGAGAAGCUUCCUGUUGCUUCCAAGACUGGAGGAGGAAGAAGGCAGAACCAUAGCUGGAUGUCUGCAGUUGGAAAGACUCACUUGGAACUGUAUCCGCACAGCACCAGUGGCAGACAGCGGCAGCCGCUCACCGGAACCUGACACGUGAUUACGUUCUACCAGCCAAACAUCAGCAGAAGGGGCCUGGCCCCUAGGGUCUUCCCAUUCUCUUUGUCACUUCCUGCUGACUGGAAGAGAAAGGAAUCCCAGGAUGCUGAGCUGGUGGUUAAGCUACUGUCUCAACCCCAUACCUUUCCUUUUAUACUCUGCCAGUUUACGAGCAGAGCAGCAUAUGAAUCUGGUUGGCAGAUUCUCUGACACACGCAGAGCCCCUCAGAGAUGCCAGCAAAGUUGGGUUCCUGGCUCCACAGGGCACUGGCUCUAAGAGCAGCGACCCCAGCAUCAGCCCAGAAGGUCCCUCCUCAGAUGUCUGUGUGUGAGCUGUGGGCGGCAGCUCCUCCACGUUUCUUAGUUUUGCUUACUCCCUCCCCUUUCCUUUGUUCUCUCCAGCCCAAGGGUGUCAGCUGCUUGUCGCAGUGGCUCCUUCUGUGAUAUUUUAGUGUUUUGUUUUUACCUUUCCUCUCUUAAAAUAAUUUGGGUGUAAUGUGGGUCUUGGAGCUGAACCCUACCACGGUCAUGUGUGUAAGAUGCUGGAUCCUCCUGAGGAGCUCCCUGCGGGAAAGAAGCUCACCCUACCAGCCUGUUUUUGACCUUGGACUCAAGCACUCGGUGAACCCAGGUUACAGCUGAAUGAGCUGUGAAAGACUGCAUCUUUUUCUUUUGAUGCUUUCUUCUCCCACCCCAAGCUUGGAGGAAUUCACUAGCUGGUGAAUAAGGAAAAUGUUGGAGCAAAGAAAAAGCCUGUCAUGCCGCACUCCUACCCACCACACUCAUCUUGCUGGCGUCUAAGAACAGCCACCAGCUCCAAACGUGUGGGAGAAACUCGUUGAAGACGGGACAUAGGUGACAGCACAUCGCACUGGACUUUGUGUUGUCUCAGAGUGACUGAGAAGGCUAGGGUGCAUGCCCAAGACUUCAUCUGGGGUAAGAGAGAGCCCAGAGGACAAAUCCCACAGACAACAAUGAUUUAAAAACCAAGAAAUGGAGGAAGUGGCUUUAUGAUCACUUCUGCUCAGUGCUCCCCUCCUGAGGCAUGUGCAUCCACACCCACCCGCCCCCUCCCCUCUCCCUCCUUCUCACCCGCCUCCCAGUCAAUUCCUCGGUUGUUGUGUGUGCCCAGCUCUUAUUCUUCACAGUGCAUGGCUCCAGGCAGCCCCUUUGUAAGAUUGGGCUUGGUGUGCAGGUGACACCCCCUUGCCAUCCCAGGCAGUAAAUCCAGCCAGUUCUUCAAGGUCCGUUCUAGUCCAGUUCCUCUGGGAAAUGUCCUUGAUAGUGUUUUGAACAUCAAACUUUUUUGUUUUAUUCUGGUAUUAUUCUUGGUCCUUCUUUUUUUUUUCCUUUGUCUCCUCCUCACAUCUAAGCAGUAUGAGUCUUGUUGGUAAGAAGGCUGUCUGCCUGUCUUGCCACCGCCAUCAUGGUCACUGCCAUCCCAGGCAGUCGGUUCUCUCCCGGGUCCUGUGAGGAGCAUCUCCCUGCAGCACGCUCCCUGCAUGUGCCCCUGUUCCCCCCACUUGCUAGGGCUGAAAACCGAGUAGGCUGCCUCACUCCUCUCUACUCCACGCCCCUGCCAGCCACAGUCAGCGUGUGUGCGACUCCCAGCACCUCUCAUUGUAUGCAUCAUCCUCUCCAUUCCUUGUGCCCUGACGUCUGUCCCAGGGGGCAGAACGCACUCACUGCCAUGUCCCCAGUGCCCAGACCAUGUCUCUUACACAUCUAUGAAGAAAUGAUUACUGAAUCAGUGAACUGAGUGAAUAAAUAAAUGGAUGUGUUAGAGAGCCGAUAGCUGGAUGAAAGCACAACCCACAAAGGUUCGGGCACUUCUGAUUCUAGUAACUGAGUUAGAAGCAAGGUGUGCCUGCUCACUUGAAGCCAUAAAAGAAAACUGCAGAAGCCUUAACAAACCUAGUGAUAAAAUAUCACUGGAAAAAUUACUGUUUUAAGUCUGGGCUAACAGCAUUACCUUGUCUCUAAUGCUGGGUGUGGUGGUGUGUGUCUGCAGUCCCAACUACUCAGGAAGCUGAGGCAAGAGGAUCACAAGAGCCCAGGAAGUUGAGGCUGCAGGAAGCUGUGAUUGCACCACUGAACUGCAGCCUGAGAAAGAGAGCAAGAUACUGUCUCGUGUGUGUGUGUGUGUAUGUGUAUAUAUAUAUAUAUAUAUAGUUUAUAUCUGGAUAUUUGUUUAAAGAGCUGUCUGUGAAUAUCAUACAAAAAGCAAAGCACUUGACCCUACGAGAGUAGCUAUUUUAAAGAAGUGAGCAAAAAUGCUUGCUCAGCACUCAGUUAAUGCCCCAGCUGAAGAUUAGUUGUUCAGAUUAAGCAGCUAUCACAGGACACUAAAACUUAAGUAAUGGAAAUGAAAUCAAAUUGGAGAAGAAUAAUUAGAAAAGAAAGCAACAAACUUCUCCAGUGUUACUGAAGUUGCAAACAAAUGACACGUGAUAAAUCACAGUCAAGGACACCGAUUGCAUUAAACUAAGGUUGUUAUCUCUGUUCUUAAACAUGUGUUAAUGUGGAAGACGGAGGUGGUUGGCAGCAGCAUCCUUAAUCUUCCUUCUUGUGGGUCUUUUGUGGACUGGAGGGUCUAGACAGCUAACCUUGCAUGUUCAUAGCUAGAGUUUUGGAUGUGAGUUAGAGCCUGAUAAUUAGAUGUACUCACAAAAGCUGUGGAAGGAAGAAGCAAGGGCAAGACCCAUCCCUGCUGCUCUGGCUGUACAGGAGAGCUUGCCUCUCCACCCCCAUAGUGGUCGUCUUGCAGGCAUCAAGCCCCUUCGCAGCAGUGAUGGCUGGUGCUUUCUUGUUUCGGUGGGAAAGGAGGACUUCCAGGCACCAGGUACAUGCUCUGCUCCUGACUCCAUGCCUUCCUCACUCAGCAGAGGUAGCAGCCUUUGGCCCGCAUGGGCCUGCAGUGUUCCAGAGUCCUUUCUGAAGGCCAAGUCUGGAACUAGUUUUCCAACCCCAGUGUACAGCAACACUGUGGCCACUCCAUUUUAAAGUCUUUUCUACUUAAAGUGGUUAGGAUGGGCUUAAAAAUUGAUACAUUGUAGAAAAAUUAAACCAAGCCAAUUAAUAUAUCCAUCACCUCACUAACUUACAUUUUGUGUGUAGAGAGAGAGAAUGUUACAAAUCUAUUCUUUUAGCGGUUUUGAAAUAUGCAAUACAUUAUGAUUAACUGGUCAACAUGCAGUGCAAUAGAUCACCAAAACUUACCCCUCCAGUGGAACUGAAACUUUGUGUCUGGUUUAAAACAUUUGUAUAAAUUUAGGGUAUACAAGCAAAUUUGUUACAUGGAUAUAUUGUGUAGUGGUGACCCAGGAUGGGCUUUUACUAUAAGUGUUAAUUGAGUAAUGUACAUUAUACUCAUUAAGUAAUUUAUCCCUCACCCCUCCCGCCUUCCCACCCUUCCUAGUCUCCAUGUCUGUCGUUCCACUCUCUAUGCCCAUGUGUACACAUUGUUUAGCUCUCAACAUCUCCCAUUCCCCCAUCCCUCCAGCCCCCACUCUGGUGAUUACCUCUCUACUUUGUUUCUAUGAGAUCAACUUCUUAAGAUUCCACAUAUAAGUGAGAUCACACAGUAGUUGUCUUUUUGUGCCUGUUUUUAUUUCUUGCAAUGUAAUGCUUGCUAAUAUGGGAUUUAGUAGCAAAAGUAGUUGUAUGCAACAGUCCCUAGGAGCAAGACCCUAGAACUGCUUAUCAGCCUUGGGUGGAUUUGAGGGCAAUAAGGCCCUAAUUACCACUAGUAAAUGAGAAAUUGGACUUUUGACACACUAGGAAACAGCUGCUUAAAUUAUCUCCCGCAGUCCCUGGGAAUGCAAAGCCUGUUGAAGGCAGACGGAGGACCCAGUGACUACAGCAACAUCAUAGUGAGAAUGAGGACUCUAAGGAGGGUGGGGAGCCAGCUGCUUGUGACCAAACUGAAGGGUUCAAAGAAAGAAAAUGUCGGCUUGAGAGUUUACAUACUCAGUUCAAGGAAACGUGUCCGGAGGUACAGCUCAUAACUGAUUCACAGGAAGUUGAUGGCAGGUUGGAUACUUGAGGACCUGAAAGAAAUAAGCCUGGAGAACUGGUGACAAAGACAUCUGUAGAAGAGGCAUCGGUUCCCAGAUCAGGAAUGCGGAAUCCCAGAUUAUCAUCAGCGUCAUCAGUACUGGGAAACCAGUGGCAAAGUUAACACAAGACUGUAACGAUCCAAUAUAAACCGGACCCAAAGGGAUCAAACCCAUGAAGAAUGAAGAUUUUAUUUACCAGGAAAAUGGCCAAAGUGUUUUUUCAAAUAGACAAAAAGAAGUUUAUUGUAAAUAAUUAUAAUUAUGAUCACUUAUGAAAAUAAGCUUUUUGAUUGCUGGUAGAAAGAAAGACUAUAGUAACUAAAAUUUCUUUCUCAUUCCAGGAAAGUUAUAUUAGCCAAGUUCCUUUUUUCUUUUUCCCUUUUCUCUUUUAGUUUGAUAGAGGUGUUGGCAGUGAUUGAUGCCUUAAUAUAGUCUAUUGUUUGCAGAGGUUAUGAUUGUGACUGACAAGGACAUCUCCAGUGAUGAAGGUGCUGAUGGACAAGACCCUGGAUAGCUCUUCUUUUGCGGAGAAGAUGGGCUGCUUUUCAUUUGUAUGGAGAAUAAAUCCACUGUGUUGGGCAGGAUAAUUUGUUGUGAUUCAGUAUGGCAGCAGUUUCAGCAUAGAAUGGUGUGGAGAUGCUGAGUUGCCUAAAUAGCUUUCCGUGGCACUUUUGGUGGAUGACACUCCAUUCUAACUUCUUCCUUAAGCACAGCUUCUCAGAAAGGCCUUCCAGACUUAUGCCUGGAGCCAGGGGCACAGAUCACCUCUCCAGCUUUUUUACCCUACUGGAAGUAUUUGAUUCUCUGCAUUAAGCCCCUGUAUGUUUAGGAUAGCUAGUGAUUCCUGCUCCUCGCUUGUUAGCCUGGGUAUGGCUUGGAUACUUUCUUCCACUGCUUUGGAAGAAGACACAAAACUACAUAUGAACUCUUGAGUUUUCCCAAGCUGGUUUCUUAGCUUAUCUUCCUCCUUUCUGUCAAUGAUGGCUCAUUCUCUCUGUCAACUCUCUGCUCACUGUUUUCUCCAUGCCUUCUCUAAAUGCCUCUUUCUUCUCAUCCACACUGCCUCACUCCUAGCGUGGGCAGGCUCCAUUACCACACAGGUAUACCCAGUAUCACCUACUGAUCUGUGGUGUGGCUUCACUCAUCUCGUUCCACCAUCUUUUACAGCUUUGACACAUUUGUUUUCUUUUAAAAAAAGAACAAAAGAACUGGACACAGACACUCACGUCUGUAAUAUGAGUGCUUUGGGAAGCUAAGGUAGGAAGAUUGUUUGAUGCCAGGAGUUUGAGACCAGCCAGGACAAUAUAGUGAGACCUCAGCUCUACAAAAAAAAAUCAACUUGGCAUGGUAGCACACACCUCUAGUCCCAGCUAUUUGGGAAGCUGAGGCAGGAGGAUUGCUUGAGCCCAGGAGUUUGAAGCUGCAGUGAGCUAUGAUCGUGCCACUGUAUUCCUGCUUGGGCAACAGAGGAAGACCCUGUCUCAAGAGAAGCAAAACAACAGAACAAAAAUAAGCAUGAUGUUUUCUUAGUUUGAAAAGCCAGUCACUAAGGUAACCUACAAGACAAAGCCCCAACAUCAUAGAUGGAGUUGAUGUCCUCCCUCUCCGCUUCCCACACGUCUUUGGAGUUUCGUUACUGAUACGUUACACCAAGUCUCAGCCCCCUGUUCAUGCCGUGGAUUAUCCCAGCUGUAUCCUCAUUUUAAACAUCUCUCUCAUGGAGAGUGCUGACUGGCUACCUUCGCCUGGCCAAAUCCUGCCACCUUUGACUUCCUCCUCAAAGCCCACAUUUCCCAUAAUUUGUCCCUAAUUUAUCUAGCUCAGAAUAAUCACUGUCCCAUGAACUCCUACAGGAUUUAUGAAAGAACUGGGUCGUGCACUCAGUCUCACGCUGCUUUGUGCUGUCUCUGGGAUGUUCUUGUUUGUUUCCAUGUUUUUCUGGUUUGUUAUCUCUUCAGCUGUUCUACAAUAUGUAGGUCAUAAAUCCUGAGAACCACGGAUUAUCACUGUGUCAUCCACAAUGCAUAUUAUAAAUUGAUUCAUAAAGCAGGGUUUAAUCCAUGAUUAUCCAACUGAAAUGGACAUUUGAGAAUCGUGGAUGGGGAAACAGCUCAUGCAGUCAGCCCUGGAGGGUGAUGGUAAAUACUGUGUGUUCUAAUAUCAGCUCAGUUAUGUGUGUCUUCUGUGCGUGAAAUGUUUUUUUCACUUGUAUCUGAGAUUUCCUGCUCCUAAAUGGGGGUAAGUCUAUUGACUCAUUGAUGAGGAAUCCUGUGAAGUGCAGCGUUGUUUGUGAAGCAUCUCUUUUCUCUUAUAAACAGCAAGAUGAAGAGAACAGUGUACCUUUCCUCAUGAAGUAUGUUUAAGUCACGGAUCUAAAAUUUGAGAGAAGCAAAGGAAAUCCAAUAAAUUUUAAACUUGACAAAGGUGACCUCUUGUUCUUGAACCAAGUGGUCCUAAUUUAGAAAAGAAGAAAAAGAAAUCCUUGUUUCUGCCAGAGUUUAUGUUUUCUAUUCCCUUAUCCAAAGUCUUUGCUAUUUUUUUUUUUAGGGGCAACUCCUAUGUCCCACUAGGUUUGAUGAAACUCCCAUAUGUUAUAGGAAUAAAGUACAUGAUUUCCUCAUCUAAACAUCUUCCCAGAAAACUAAGCGUUCAUGUUAGAAAUCAACACAUUCCUACUCGAUUCUAAUUUAUUAAACAAACUAAACAUCUGCUCCAGGCCAGGCACUGCUCUGGGGAGUUAGAGAUGGUGAAGAUGUACUCCCUGUCUUCAGGCUGUUCAAGUAUGGCCAGGUGAGCCCCAUGCAAGGUACUCUUCACUGAGCACAAUGACAGAGGCGCAACCAGGGUUAGCAGGGUAGGGCAGGACUUCUCACCAGUCAUCCAGGCAUACUUCCCAGAGGAAAUUGGCCUUGCAUUCUGAGCUGGAGGCUAAGACAGGAUUUUGCCAAGAACAGAGCCAUUAGAGUUAGUGCAUUCCCAGGGAAGAGGGAACAAUUUUGGCAAAGGCACCUGGCAUAAAAAUAUUGGCUUAAUGAAGGGAGAUAUGUAUUAGCAUAUGGCUGCAGGGAAGGUUGUCUAGGGAAUGAUAAGGAAAGAUUACAUAAAAGUGGGUUUCGGGGUCUUUAAGUUGCAGGGAAGGAAUUUGGGCAGCAAGAAUAUAUUGAGUUUUGUGGGAAGUCAGGGAAGGGCAGGGAAAGGAUUCGAAUAACGCUUUGGUCUUCCAAGGAAGAGAGCUUUCUAGGGAUGGACAGACUACAGUGGAUGAUUUAUGCCAGUGCGUAGAUUUAUAUAUACAUAUUGUAAAAACGCAGCACAGUGUAACAGGAAGUGGAGCAGAAGCUAAGGGGCUUGUCUUCUAGAAAUACUGGGGGUGGCAUGAUGCAAAGAUGGAAACUCUGAGGACACAGCCUCUUACUGUGUAACUGUGGCCAAAUAACCUUUGAAGAGGGUCUUUAUUCACUCAUUGUAAAAUGAGGGCAACAAGGCUUUCCCUUGUGUUGAAGUAAUUGCACAUA
Molecule: long non-coding RNA, 9239 nt
Organism: Callithrix jacchus (white-tufted-ear marmoset)
Lineage: Eukaryota; Metazoa; Chordata; Mammalia; Primates; Cebidae
Source: RefSeq, a predicted model, not a curated record